RNAcentral lists this ribosomal RNA (389 nucleotides) under uncultured bacterium. RNAcentral's name for it is "bacterial SSU rRNA". It matches the Rfam family "Bacterial small subunit ribosomal RNA", at positions 28 to 417 of the family's 1533-position model. The record is from RNAcentral.
AUUGAACGCUGGCGGCAUGCUUUACACAUGCAAGUCGAACGGCAGCGGGGGCUUCGGCCUGCCGGCGAGUGGCGAACGGGUGAGUAAUGCAUCGGAACGUGCCCAGUCAUGGGGGGAUAACUACGCGAAAGCGUAGCUAAUACCGCAUACGCCCUGAGGGGGAAAGCGGGGGAUCGCAAGACCUCGCGUGAUUGGAGCGGCCGAUGUCGGAUUAGCUAGUUGGUGGGGUAAAGGCCUACCAAGGCGACGAUCCGUAGCGGGUCUGAGAGGAUGAUCCGCCACACUGGGACUGAGACACGGCCCAGACUCCUACGGGAGGCAGCAGUGGGGAAUUUUGGACAAUGGGGGGCAACCCUGAUCCAGCCAUGCCGCGUGAGUGAAGAAGGCCU